RNAcentral lists this ribosomal RNA (253 nucleotides) under uncultured bacterium. RNAcentral's name for it is "partial 16S ribosomal RNA". It matches the Rfam family "Bacterial small subunit ribosomal RNA", at positions 524 to 776 of the family's 1533-position model. The record is from RNAcentral.
UACGAAGGUCCCAAGCGUUAUCCGGAUUUAUUGGGUUUAAAGGGUGCGUAGGCGGGUUAUUAAGUCAGUGGUGAAAGCCUGCAGCUUAACUGCAGAAUUGCCAUUGAUACUGAUGAUCUUGAGUAUGAUUGAGGUGGGCGGAAUGUGUCAUGUAGCGGUGAAAUGCUUAGAUAUGACACAGAACACCGAUUGCGAAGGCAGCUCACUAAGCCAUAACUGACGCUGAUGCACGAAAGCGUGGGGAGCAAACAGG